GGAUGAACGCUGGCGGCGUGCCUAAUACAUGCAAGUCGAGCGAACAGACGAGGAGCUUGCUCCUCUGACGUUAGCGGCGGACGGGUGAGUAACACGUGGAUAACCUACCUAUAAGACUGGGAUAACUUCGGGAAACCGGAGCUAAUACCGGAUAAUAUAUUGAACCGCAUGGUUCAAUAGUGAAAGACGGUUUUGCUGUCACUUAUAGAUGGAUCCGCGCCGCAUUAGCUAGUUGGUAAGGUAACGGCUUACCAAGGCAACGAUGCGUAGCCGACCUGAGAGGGUGAUCGGCCACACUGGAACUGAGACACGGUCCAGACUCCUACGGGAGGCAGCAGUAGGGAAUCUUCCGCAAUGGGCGAAAGCCUGACGGAGCAACGCCGCGUGAGUGAUGAAGGUCUUCGGAUCGUAAAACUCUGUUAUUAGGGAAGAACAAAUGUGUAAGUAACUAUGCACGUCUUGACGGUACCUAAUCAGAAAGCCACGGCUAACUACGU
Molecule: ribosomal RNA, 497 nt
Filed under: uncultured bacterium
Lineage: Bacteria
Description: partial 16S ribosomal RNA
Rfam family: Bacterial small subunit ribosomal RNA
Source: RNAcentral